Molecule: ribosomal RNA, 525 nt
Filed under: uncultured cyanobacterium
Lineage: Bacteria; Bacillati; Cyanobacteriota
Description: bacterial SSU rRNA
Rfam family: Bacterial small subunit ribosomal RNA
Source: RNAcentral
GCCUAAAGAUGAGCUCGCGUCUGAUUAGCUAGUUGGUGGGGUAAAAGCUUACCAAGGCGACGAUCAGUAGCUGGUCUGAGAGGAUGAUCAGCCACACUGGGACUGAGACACGGCCCAGACUCCUACGGGAGGCAGCAGUGGGGAAUUUUCCGCAAUGGGCGAAAGCCUGACGGAGCAACGCCGCGUGAGGGAGGAAGGCUUUUGGGUUGUAAACCUCUUUUAUCAAGGAAGAAAAUGACGGUGCUUGAUGAAUAACAAUCGGCUAACUCCGCGCCCCCACCCGCGGUAAUACGGAGGAGGCACGCGUUUUCCGGAAUAAUUGGGCGUAAAGCGUUCGCGGGGGGUUUUGUAAGUCUGCUGUUAAAACGUGUGGCUUAACUACGUAUAGGCGGAGGAAACUACAAAACUUGAGUGCGUGGGGGGGGGAGGGAAUUUCUGGUGUGGCGGGGAAAUGCGUAUAUAUAAGGAAAAACACCGGUGGCGAAGGCGCUCUAUUAUGCCCCAUCUGACACUGUGGGACAAAAG